GAUGAACGCUGGCGGCGUGCCUAAUACAUGCAAGUCGAGCGAACAGACGAGGAGCUUGCUCCUCUGACGUUAGCGGCGGACGGGUGAGUAACACGUGGAUAACCUACCUAUAAGACUGGGAUAACUUCGGGAAACCGGAGCUAAUACCGGAUAAUAUAUUGAACCGCAUGGUUCAAUAGUGAAAGACGGUUUUGCUGUCACUUAUAGAUGGAUCCGCGCCGCAUUAGCUAGUUGGUAAGGUAACGGCUUACCAAGGCGACGAUGCGUAGCCGACCUGAGAGGGGGAUCAGCCACACUGGAACUGAGACACGGUCCAGACUCCUACGGGAGGCAGCAGUAGGGAAUCUUCCGCAAUGGGCGAAAGCCUGACGGAGCAACGCCGCGUGAGUGAUGAAGGUCUUCGGAUCGUAAAACUCUGUUAUUAGGGAAGAACAAAUGUGUAAGUAACUAUGCACGUCUUGACGGUACCUAAUCAGAAAGCCACGGCUAACUACGUG
RNAcentral lists this ribosomal RNA (497 nucleotides) under uncultured bacterium. RNAcentral's name for it is "partial 16S ribosomal RNA". It matches the Rfam family "Bacterial small subunit ribosomal RNA", at positions 28 to 507 of the family's 1533-position model. The record is from RNAcentral.